This 1382-nucleotide ribosomal RNA is filed under the name Leifsonia shinshuensis. Its description in RNAcentral is "bacterial SSU rRNA". Lineage: Bacteria; Bacillati; Actinomycetota; Actinomycetes; Micrococcales; Microbacteriaceae. The record is from RNAcentral.
CUACCAUGCAGUCGAACGAUGAACCAGGAGCUUGCUCUUGGGGAUUAGUGGCAAACGGGUGAGUAACACGUGAGUAACCUGCCCUUGACUCUGGGAUAACCUCCGGAAACGGAAGCUAAUACCGGAUACCACGUACGGAGGCAUCUCCUGUACGUGGAAAGAACUUCUGUCAAGGAUGGACUCCCGGCCUAUCAGGUAGUUGGUGAGGUAACGGCUCACCAAACCUACCACGGGUAGCCGGCCUGAAAGGGUGACCGGCCACACUGGGACUGAGACACGGCCCACACUCCUACGGGAGGCAGCAGUGGGGAAUAUUGCACAAUGGGCGAAAGCCUGAUGCAUCAACGCCGCGUGAGGGACGACGGCCUUCUGGUUGUAAACCUCUUUUAGUAGGGAAGAAGCGAAAGUGACGGUACCUGCAUAAAAAGCACCGGCUAACUACGUGCCAGCAGCCGCCGGUCARUACGUAGGGUGCGAGCGUUGUCYGGUAAUUAUUGGGCGUAAAGAGCUCGUAGGCGGUCUGUCGCGUCUGCUGUGAAAAACACCGAGGCUCAACCUCGGGCSUGCAGUGGGUACGGGCAGACUAGAGUGCGGUAGGGGAGAAUGGAAUUCCUGGUGUAGCGGUGGAAUGCGCAGAUAUCAGGAGGAACACCGAUGGCGAAGGCAGUUCUCUGGGCCGUAACUGACGCUGAGGAGCGAAAGCGUGKGGAGCGAACAGGAUUAGAUACCCUGGUAGUCCACGCCGUAAACGUUGGGCGCUAGAUGUGGGGACCAUUCCACGGUUUCCGUGUCGCAGCUAACGCAUUAAGCGCCCCGCCUGGGGAGUACGGCCGCRAGGCUAAAACUCAAAGGAAUUGACGGGGGCCCGCACAAGCGGCGGAGCAUGCGGAUUAAUUYGAUGCAACGCGAAKAACCUUACCAAGGCUUGACAUACACGAGMACGCCCUASAAAUAGGGAACUCUUUUGACACUCGUGAACAGGUGGUGCAUGGUUGUCGUCAGCUCGUGUCUUGAGAUGUUGGGUUAAGUCCCGCAACGAGCGCAACCCUCGUUUUAUGUUGCCAGCGCGUAAUGGCGGGAACUCAUAGGAGACUGCCGGGGUCAACUCGGAGGAAGGUGGGGAUGACGUCAAAUCAUCAUGCCCCCUAUGUCUUGGGCUUCACGCAUGCUACAAUGGCCGGUACAAAGGGCUGCAACACCGUAAGGUGGAGAGAAUCCCAAAAAGCCGGUCUCAGUUUGGAUUGAGGUCUGCAACUCGACCUCAUGAAGUCGGAGUCGCUAGUAAUCGCAGAUCAGCAACGGUGCGGUGAAUACGUUCCCGGGCCUUGUACACACCGCCCGUCAAGUCCGAAAGUCGGUAACACCCGAAGCCGGUGGCCCAA